This 161-nucleotide ribosomal RNA is filed under the name Senecio actinotus. RNAcentral's name for it is "5.8S ribosomal RNA". It matches the Rfam family "5.8S ribosomal RNA". From Rfam's summary of the family: 5.8S ribosomal RNA (5.8S rRNA) is a component of the large subunit of the eukaryotic ribosome. Lineage: Eukaryota; Viridiplantae; Streptophyta; Magnoliopsida; Asterales; Asteraceae. The record is from RNAcentral.
CGACUCUCGGCAACGGAUAUCUCGGCUCACGCAUCGAUGAAGAACGUAGCAAAAUGCGAUACUUGGUGUGAAUUGCAGAAUCCCGUGAACCAUCGAGUUUUUGAACGCAAGUUGCGCCCGAAGCCUUUUGGCCAAGGGCACGUCUGCCUGGGCGUCACACA